UAGGGGAUGUCCCUGGGGGCAGGGCCUGCCUCUUCUGCCCUCCUUUCAGGCAGGAGACCUCAGAGCACCUUUGCAGCCCCGCCAGCUCCUAGGCACCAACCAGCCAGGACUUCUUGCCCACUUGGGAACUAUUUCAACUGGCAAUCUGGGCCCCAGGCUUUGCCCACUUCAACACCAUUCAACCUCAGCUUGCUGGACCCCUUGCUUCUCUCACACAGUAAGGUGCUCCCUCUUCACCACCCCCACCCCCCAAAACAGAAGAGAAGCAGCCAAUCAAGAUGGCCAGACCAGGAUUACAAAUGAGGCAAUUUAUUAACCCAGCAUCAUUUGUUCUAAUGUUUCUUGUUGGCAGCUGCCACCUGUGGGAAAAGAUGGACAAGAUCAGUGUUGGGGCCUGUGUAGGGGUACUUGGUAAUAGCUACCGACCAGAGGCAGUGACCAAUCUGUGUGCCAGGCAUCCUGACUUGCAGUUUUUCAAAUGCAUUCAUCACAACCCAGGUAUUCUCCCAUUUUAUAGAAGCAUUAACCUGAACUCGAGGAAGUGGGGGGCAGGGUUGGAUUCUGUCUUCUGCCCAAUGCCCUGUGUGAGGGGAAAGCAAACUAUCUGUGUCAGGCUCUGGGCCACAAACCAGGCAGGCAGGAGCUUGUCUUCUCAUUCCCAGCCACCCCCAACUCCCACAGGACAUUCCUUCCACUCUUUCGUGACACCUGACUAAGUGACAAAACACUCCAAGGCUCCUAAGCGGCUAUAGUAGUUACAAAAAUAAGAAAACCAACACUGAGCAGACGUCAAGCCCAGUGGGAAUCCUGAAGCAGUGACCCACUGGGUCCUCACGGCCACCCUAUCCUUCUGAGAUGUCCACUCUAUGGACUGGGAGACUGUGGCUGCACAGGGAAAUAACGCUCCCGUAGGGCACCAAGCAGGUGUCCCCCAUCUGAAAGCUCAGCAAGUGUAAAUGAUGAAAACACUGCAACCAGAAUCAGAAAGGAUGCCGACAACAAGGGAAGCUGUGUCUCUGCUCUGCAGGACAGGAAGCAGGUCCAGGGGCUCAGGAUAUGCCCAUGGAACCAUCGAGGGACCCAGCUCCAGCCCACACCUAGGCCUUACCUGUCCGGCGAUUCUGUCCAGAUCUCUCUGUCCCUGAGGUGUCAGUUUGCGGCCCCUGUGGGGAGGAGGGUCACACAAGCUGGUGAGGGCAGGCCCGCAGCCCCCUCCCCAAGAAGGCACCUGGUGUGGGGCCACCACAUGAUUCCAGCUAAGGUAAGUCAUGCCAAGGACCCCAGUUGGCCACAUUUUAACAAGCUAGGGCAGGAGUGGGAGCCCCCUGGGAGCUA
This is a long non-coding RNA of Choloepus didactylus (southern two-toed sloth), 1335 nucleotides long. RefSeq lists it as uncharacterized. The record is from RefSeq and is a predicted model, not a curated record. Lineage: Eukaryota; Metazoa; Chordata; Mammalia; Pilosa; Megalonychidae. The transcript has 3 exons.